GAUGAACGCUAGCUACAGGCUUAACACAUGCAAGUCGAGGGGAAACGACAUCGAAAGCUUGCUUUUGAUGGGCGUCGACCGGCGCACGGGUGAGUAACGCGUAUCCAACCUGCCCACCACUUGGGGAUAACCUUGCGAAAGUAAGACUAAUACCCAAUGAUAUCUCUAGAAGACAUCUGAAAGAGAUUAAAGAUUUAUCGGUGAUGGAUGGGGAUGCGUCUGAUUAGCUUGUUGGCGGGGUAACGGCCCACCAAGGCUACGAUCAGUAGGGGUUCUGAGAGGAAGGUCCCCCACAUUGGAACUGAGACACGGUCCAAACUCCUACGGGGGGCAGCAGUGAGGAAUAUUGGUCAAUGGACGAGAGUCUGAACCAGCCAAGUAGCGUGCAGGAUGACGGCCCUAUGGGUUGUAAACUGCUUUUAUAAGGGAAUAAAGUGAGCCUCGUGAGGCUUUUUGCAUGUACCUUAUGAAUAAGGACCGGCUAAUUCCGUGCCAGCAGCCGCGGUAA
Molecule: ribosomal RNA, 508 nt
Filed under: uncultured bacterium
Lineage: Bacteria
Description: partial 16S ribosomal RNA
Rfam family: Bacterial small subunit ribosomal RNA
Source: RNAcentral